AGGACAAACGCUGGCGGCGUACCUAAGACAUGCAAGUCGAACGGAUCGUGUGCCUUCGGGUAGACGGUGAGUGGCGAACGGGUGAGUAACACGUAGGAACCUGUCGCACAGUGGGGGAUAACGCUGGGAAACCGGCGCUAAUACCGCAUGAGGUGGGCGGUGUAAAGCCGUUCACGAAAGCAGAGAUGCGCUGAGUGAGGGGCCUGCGGCCGAUUAGCUAGUUGGUGGGGUAACGGCCUACCAAGGCGACGAUCGGUAGCUGGUCUGAGAGGAUGGUCAGCCACACUGGGACUGAGACACGGCCCAGACUCCUACGGGAGGCAGCAGUUAGGAAAUUUUCACAAUGGGGGAAACCCUGAUGGAGUAACGCCGCGUGCAGGAUGACGGCCUUCGGUUGUAACUGCUUUCUGUGGGACGAGUAGAAGACGGUACCGCAGGAAGAAGCAUCGGCUAACUACGUGCCAGCAGCCGCGGUAA
Molecule: ribosomal RNA, 477 nt
Filed under: uncultured bacterium
Lineage: Bacteria
Description: SSU rRNA
Rfam family: Bacterial small subunit ribosomal RNA
Source: RNAcentral